GCCAUAUGGCAGCGCUUUCUGCCAAGUCUGACAUGUGCUGUCUCCUCUGGCUGACUCUUAUCUCAACCUGACAGAGGCUGCACAAAACCUUUCUGUUACCUAUUCAGGAGGCACCGCAUGCCAGUGGGCCAAGUCAUUCUACUUUCUUAACCCUGUAAUCCCUUAGCAUAUGGAAAGAAACAGGAGUAUUUUCCUGAACUGGCCCUGGGCACAACUGUCAACCAUUCAAGAGAAACUUACAGCCAAAAAGCAGCAUAGAAUUCACCUGGACUAAUCCUCACAUUUUGCAAACUGAAGAACCAUGUUGUAAACAGUGGAUGAGGCUCUGGCAAGGCCACCAGCUAGAGAGCAGGAAACGCAGGCUUCAAUUUUUCAGCUAAUGGCAAUUCCAUUUUCCAGAUGCUGAGGCCAAAGGGGGGUCAUUGUUGGCUCUUCCUGCUCAUGUAUCUUCAAUGCAAUCCAUCAGCAAAUCUAGUAAGUGCUAACUGUAAAGGAGAUGGAGCUGCAACCACUCCUCCAUAUGCCUGAUGCUUGAGAGACUGCCAUCUCUCUCCUGGAUUCCCAAAAACGCGUCCUCACUGGGGAACCUGCUUCCAGCCCAGCUCUCCAAGACUAUUCCAACUAUCAGAAUGAUCCUCAAAUAAAUCAGAUUAUGUCAGUCCUAUCCUCAAAA
Suricata suricatta (meerkat) is the source of this 673-nucleotide long non-coding RNA. RefSeq lists it as uncharacterized. The transcript is spliced from 2 exons. Lineage: Eukaryota; Metazoa; Chordata; Mammalia; Carnivora; Herpestidae. The record is from RefSeq and is a predicted model, not a curated record.